Molecule: ribosomal RNA, 510 nt
Filed under: Triticum aestivum (bread wheat)
Lineage: Eukaryota; Viridiplantae; Streptophyta; Magnoliopsida; Poales; Poaceae
Description: partial small subunit ribosomal RNA
Source: RNAcentral
AUGAGCCAAGAGCAUCAUCUAGUUAUUCACGAGCCUGCUACCACAAAGGCUCCUGAAGAUGAAGAAGUACCAGUUGUCGACCCCACCACAGCUGAAGAUAUUGAUCAUGAAGACAAUGUUGAAGAUGAUGAAGUCCUUCCUCAAAUUGAGCACCACACGGUAUCAUCGCCUGUUCAUACAAACAGCGAACUCAUCAGUAUUGGUCAUCCUUUGACGCCAAUCACUCAGGAUGCUUCGUGGGCCGAUCGCCCUCAACAAGACACCCCCAUUCUUGAUGACACUCCCAGAACUCCACCACCUCAAGACACCACUCCAGUGAUUGAAGAUGAUAGCUACAUGGUACAGACCACUCCAUCUUCACAGGCGUCGCCCGCUUUUCGCAGGCUUCGCAAAGGCCCCAGGUCACAGGUCACCAUGUCGAGCAUUCUAGAAGGGCACGUGCAACAAAGCUCGGUAGCACGUCAAGUGUUCCCUGAAGCCACACCAACUGUGAAUGUCUCUGAGUCUUAA